This 253-nucleotide ribosomal RNA is filed under the name uncultured bacterium. Its description in RNAcentral is "partial 16S ribosomal RNA". It matches the Rfam family "Bacterial small subunit ribosomal RNA", at positions 524 to 776 of the family's 1533-position model. The record is from RNAcentral.
UACGUAGGGUGCAAGCGUUGUUCGGAAUUACUGGGCGUAAAGCGCGCGCAGGCGGGCUUGUAAGUCGAUUGUGAAAUCCCCGGGCUUAACCUGGGAACUGCGCUUGUUACUGGCAGGCUUGAGUGUGGCAGAGGGGGGUGGAAUUCCACGUGUAGCAGUGAAAUGCGUAGAGAUGUGGAGGAACACCGAUGGCGAAGGCAGCCCCCUGGGCUAACACUGACGCUCAUGCACGAAAGCGUGGGGAGCAAACAGG